This 1092-nucleotide unclassified non-coding RNA is filed under the name Hevea brasiliensis (rubber tree). The record is from RNAcentral. Lineage: Eukaryota; Viridiplantae; Streptophyta; Magnoliopsida; Malpighiales; Euphorbiaceae.
GCCUAUAGUUGACGUAAUUACUAACAUGCCUGUGCAAAAAUAUCUUCAGGUAUCAGAGCUCGAGCAAGAUUUCUGACAAAAUCAGCAGCUAGCUUUAGUUUGCAUCUGUUCCUGAAUCGCCUUGUAGCAUUGUAGGCUGCAAAGCGGAAGCUUUGACUUCGAAUCUCUAUAUUUUUUGGGGUUAGUACAUGAAGGGCCUGCACACUGUUCGCGCAAAGGUGGGUAGCUGCAGGCUUUAUUGUAGAAAAUACUAGGGAAACCCAUCUCCUUGGGGAAUGUCACAACAGUCCCAUUUGGUCCCAUGACCCAUCUGAUGGUGUUUGAUGCACGCUUCAGGGCAUUAGCAACCUUCUCCUUCGCUAACUCUUCCUGAAGCUUCUUUAUUUCGUCUUCUCGCUUCCUUCUGCUGGAAUUUUGACCAAGUAUUUUUCUAAUAGCCUCAGCCUCAGAUUCCCUUGCAGCCUUCUCAACUUGUAUUCUANGUCUCUGAGCAGCGUCAGCCUUCUUUAGUUGCUGCUCCACUUCAGAAAGUUUCUCCUUUUGCUUUCUUAGUGGUGCAGGUGGUAAUCCAUUUGAAAACUCAAUUAAGUUGGCACCAUGUGCAGAGCCAUCUUUGCUUGACUGAAGGGCUCGUUGACGUGUAGUUAGCUUCAUCUCCCUCUUACCAUCCAUCAAUGUAUCAACGGAUUCCUUUUUCUGCUCAAGCUCACCCUCAGAGGCCAGAUCUUCUUCCUUGUAAUCUGUGUCCUUUGAUGCUAUGUCUAAUGAAGACUUCUUCUUCCCAUCAUUCACCAACUUUGAAGCACCAAUUUUCUCCAUGCUGGAAAGCUUCUGCUGUUUCUUGUUUGAUUCUUCAUCACCUUUAUAUCCUGCAGCAAUCUUUGGAGUUUUCAGUUUCGUCAGGUAUCGAAUCUCAUCAUCCUCAUAGAAUUCACCAAUUUCCAAGUCCAAUACACGCCUCUUGGGGAACCGCUUGCUCACAUGAACUGGUUGAGAUUUCUCCCCAUGUUUUCCUGAUGCAUUCUUCCCAGAAGUACCGUCUUUCCCAAGACUAAAACCACCUGCGGAAAAAUCCUUCCAGGGGACACCUUG